Molecule: non-coding RNA, 27 nt
Filed under: Rattus norvegicus (Norway rat)
Lineage: Eukaryota; Metazoa; Chordata; Mammalia; Rodentia; Muridae
Source: RNAcentral
UGCAAACUACCAGUUGGAGGAUCCUAU